GAUACAGCUGUGGGGGAUCUUCAUUCGGGUGUUCCUGUGAUUACAACUGUCGUUACUAUGGCAACUGCUGUCCAGAUUUCUGCGAUCACUGUGCUUACAUGGAUUAUGGAUACUGUGGUGGUUACACAACUGUGCAAGGUAUGACCGAAG
This is a long non-coding RNA of Pristis pectinata (smalltooth sawfish), 150 nucleotides long. RefSeq lists it as uncharacterized. The record is from RefSeq and is a predicted model, not a curated record. NCBI's taxonomy places the organism in Eukaryota, Metazoa, Chordata, Chondrichthyes, Rhinopristiformes, Pristidae. The transcript is spliced from 3 exons.